GGAUCCAGACUUUGAUCCUGGCUCAUGAUGAACGCUAGCGGCAGGCUUAACACAUGCAAGUCGAGGGGCAGCGCGGGGCAGCAAUGUUCUGGCGGCGACCGGCGGAAGGGUGCGUAACGCGUGAGCGACAUGCCCGUUGCCCGGGGACAACCGGUGGAAACGCCGACUAAUCCCCGAUGGGACGGAGGCCCUCAUGGGUCUCCGUUGAAAGUUACGGCGGCGACGGAUUGGCUCGCGUCCGAUUAGCUUGUUGGCGGGGUAACGGCCCACCAAGGCUACGAUCGGUAGGGGUUCUGAGAGGAAGGUCCCCCACAAUGGAACUGAGACACGGUCCAUACUCCUACGGGAGGCAGCAGUGAGGAAUAUUGGUCAAUGGGCGGAAGCCUGAACCAGCCAUGCCGCGUGCGGGAAGGAGGCCCUAUGGGCUGUGAACCGCUUUUGCCUGGGGGCAAUAAGGGCGUCGUGCACGUCCGAUGAGAGUACCAGGCGAAUAAGCAUCGGCUAACUCCGUGCCAGCAGCCGCGGUAAUACGGGGGAUGCGAGCGUUAUCCGGAUUCAUUGGGUUUAAAGGGUGCGUAGGCUGUGCGUCAAGUCAGGGGUGAAAUUCCGGGGCUCAACUCCGGGGCUGCCCUUGAUACUGUCGCGCUGGAGUGCGGAUGCCGCCGGAGGAAUGAGUGGUGUAGCGGUGAAAUGCUUAGAUAUCACUCAGAACACCGAUUGCGAAGGCAUCUGGCGAAUCCGUAACUGACGCUGAGGCACGAAAGCGUGGGGAUAGAACAGGAUUAGAUACCCUGGUAUUCCACGCCGUAAACGAUGAUGGCUAACCGCCGGCGACACACUGUCGGUGGCCAAGCGAAAGCGAUAAGCCAUCCACCUGGGGAGUACGUCGGCAACGAUGCAACUCAAAGGAAUUGACGG
Molecule: ribosomal RNA, 918 nt
Filed under: uncultured Bacillota bacterium
Lineage: Bacteria; Bacillati; Bacillota
Description: bacterial SSU rRNA
Rfam family: Bacterial small subunit ribosomal RNA
Source: RNAcentral